GCCGCAGUCGUAGAUUUUGACUUUGAGACACAGAUGUCUCUGUCCUUCAUAAAUGUUGCUAUUCGCAGCCACUGGGAACUUUAUGACACCGCAGAGGGCAGAAUCGCUACAUCGUCGGCCAGCGCGUUAUGGCUUUCGCAGAUGCAGUGUCACAUCACGAUGAAAACAAAGAUAUACGCAGACACAGACAUUCAAAGAUAUGUGUGCACAGACGCUGCGAGGCUCAGAGUCAGACACAUUGCGCGGAGAAUAUCUUCGCAUGAAAGCCUGCCUCCCAACACUUUUGGCUUUCGCAGAUGCAAUGUCACAUCUCGAUGAAAACAAAGAUAUACGCAGACACAGACAGGCAAAGAUAUGUGUGCACAGAUGCUAAGAGGCGCAGAGUCAGACACAUUAUUGUGCGGAGAAUAUCUUCGCAUGCAGCCUGGCCUCCCAACACUUUUGGCUUGGCUGACGAGGUUUGAGGUUUCAAGGAUGACUUAGCGCAGGGCCAGUCGGGAGUUCAAGCGAAUAGAAAUGCACGAUAACCAGACGAUUGACUUGUGUAGACAGGAGUUUAAACUGUGUAUUGUUUUUUAAAUUACUGUGAAAUACACAUUCGGAAACACCAUCCAUCCAUCCAUCCCCCCCUUCUCUUCUGCAAUGCCAUUGUCUCAUGUUUAUGAAAGCAAAUAUCAAAAGUAAUCCUUGUGUGACUUAAUCCUAAUCCCUGGGUUUUGUGUUGUGUUUGUUUUUGUUUUUAUCCCUUUAAUCCCAACAGGGCACGCCAGGACGAGACGGCUAUCCGGGCCCCCUCGGCAUGGACGGGAAGCCAGGUUUACCUGGGACAAAGGGAAACCAGGGAUUGCCAGGGAUAAAAGGAGAAAAGGGUGACCGGGGAGACAUCGGACCCAGAAUGGUCUUCCCUCGACAUGACCACAGCUUUCUUUCAGCUGACCAGCAUGCUUUUCCAAGGCGCCUUUUGAAGGGAGAUCAGGGCCAGGCCGGGCCCCCGGGCCCCCCAGGGCCACCAGGGACCCCAGGACCCAGGGGACCUCCAGGGAACACGGGGAGAGACGGGCCAAGGGGCGCCCCCGGAGAGGUGGGCCCACCCGGACGUGAUGGCAUUGAGGGACAAAGAGGGCCCCAAGGCAUUCAGGGCGAAGACGGUGAGGAUGGCGAGCCAGGACCUCAGGGGCCCCCGGGAAUAAAGGGGGAGGCUGGCAUGCCUGGUGGCCAGGGAGAGAGGGGCAUCGAUGGGCUCCCGGGGAUGAAGGGAGAGAAAGGAGAAUUGGGAGAACAGGGACUGCAAGGAAUGAUGGGUUAUCCUGGAGAGAAGGGUGCCGCUGGCUCCUUCGAGCUGACAGGAGAACUCCACCAUGCUCUUCGGGGACCACCGGGCCCACAGGGAGACCAAGGACCCAAGGGAGAGCCCGGUUCGCCUGGCACACACGGUGCAGAUGGGCCACAGGGAGAGAGAGGAGAGAGGGGAGAGGACGGCAGCCCAGGGUACCCAGGGGAGAAAGGAGAGAGGGGAGAGAUGGGCCUGUCUGGGCCACCGGGUUUGGACGGCCAGAGGGGAGAAAAGGGAGAUGCCUGGAUCCAGGACAACCUGGCCCAGAUCAUCUCACUGCCAGGGCCUCCAGGGCCUCCCGGACCCCCCGGGGCCCAAGGACUGCAGGGUCAUCAUGGAAUGCCUGGCCUGAAGGGCGAGCCGGGUGAUGUCGGCCGAGGACAGAAGGGAGAGAAUGGGGAUCAAGGUCUCCCGGGUCCCAGAGGUUUCCCCGGUCCAGCGGGUAAUGACGGCCUAACUGGCGUCCCAGGUGUCAAAGGGGAAAAGGGCAAGCCUGGCCUGCCUGGAUUAGAUGGUUUUCCCGGACUGAUGGGAGAGAAAGGGGAGAUUGGACCCAGAGGAGAGAAGGGGGACCGUGGCCCAGUGGGCAAGAAGGGGCUGAAGGGGCAGAAAGGCGAGCAGGGCCCUCCUGGACUAGACCAGCCCUGUCCUGUGGCCUCAAGGGAGAGACGUGCUGGGUAAGCAGGGUGGCUCUCCGACGCCCUCUGCCCCACGGGUCGAGAUGGGCUGCCUAUACCAGGAUGUUGGAACAAGUGAUCUUUGUCUUUGAAGCAUGGGAUUUGUACAUAUCGAUAUAUAUUUUGCAGCUAACACACUUUUGCCCUUUUUAAACAUUUUUUUCUAUUUAAUAUAUUGAGGAUUUAUACAGCAUCUGUCUAUUUUUGUGUUUUAUGUUUUGUUUUGUUUUUACAUAGACUACGGCACUACAUUUAAAUAUUUGAAUGAAGGAUGGUUUCUAUGGCAUUAGUGUGAUGUUUUGUAUCGGAACAGCUGAAUGGG
This is an RNA transcript of Engraulis encrasicolus (European anchovy), 2332 nucleotides long. It is a transcript of the gene named collagen alpha-1(XXIII) chain, with no coding region annotated. The record is from RefSeq and is a predicted model, not a curated record. The transcript is spliced from 27 exons. NCBI's taxonomy places the organism in Eukaryota, Metazoa, Chordata, Actinopteri, Clupeiformes, Engraulidae.